Molecule: long non-coding RNA, 652 nt
Organism: Bos taurus (domestic cattle)
Lineage: Eukaryota; Metazoa; Chordata; Mammalia; Artiodactyla; Bovidae
Source: Ensembl
AGAAAGAGUGAAGCAGGUAAGAGGGGAAAGCCAAUCCCAGGACGCUUUGGCAAGACAGUUGCUGCAGUGAAGAACUGGCAUUGAGUCACCGUGGGAACCUCCUGAGGAGCUGUGUGAAAAUGUCUCAGGAUUGACAAGUCACACGAGAGAAGGGAGAAGGCGCCCGAGCAGCCGAGGUGUGUGUCAGUUCCCUUGCACUUCCGGCUUUGCCCAUGGUUUGGAAUGACUGAGAAGUUCCCCACAGACAGCCACAGAGGCGGCAAAGAAGCCAAUGGUGCAGCAUGGAAGAGACUGUUGGUGAAGCUGAGGGGAGGUGCUGUCAACCACACCUGACCGGAGUUGGUUGCUGCAGCGAAGGCUGGAAAAAAGCAGGUUCACCUGAAGACCUUCUCCGUUCCCCCACUGGAAGCUGGAAAGAACCAAGACAGUGUUGGCUUGUGGUGCUACGAAAGGAAAGAGGUGGACCUGAGAAGCAGGGGAUCUUCCUGACCCAGAGAUGGAACCCACAUCUCCUGCAUUGGCAGGCAGAUUCUUUACCACUGAGCCACCUGGGAAGCCCCUUUUAAAGUGUCUGCCAACCCACAGAAGAAAUGCACAUUUGAGCAAAUGCACUAUAAUACCAGGAAAAAACUACGCAUAUAUUGCUAUAGAA